This 253-nucleotide ribosomal RNA is filed under the name uncultured bacterium. RNAcentral's name for it is "partial 16S ribosomal RNA". It matches the Rfam family "Bacterial small subunit ribosomal RNA", at positions 524 to 776 of the family's 1533-position model. The record is from RNAcentral.
UACGAAGGGGGCUAGCGUUGUUCGGAAUUACUGGGCGUAAAGCGCACGUAGGCGGAUACUUAAGUCAGGGGUGAAAUCCCGGGGCUCAACCUCGGAACUGCCUUUGAUACUGGGUAUCUCGAGUCCGGAAGAGGUGAGUGGAAUUCCGAGUGUAGAGGUGAAAUUCGUAGAUAUUCGGAGGAACACCAGUGGCGAAGGCGGCUCACUGGUCCGGUACUGACGCUGAGGUGCGAAAGCGUGGGGAGCAAACAGG